Molecule: ribosomal RNA, 477 nt
Filed under: uncultured Planctomycetales bacterium
Lineage: Bacteria; Pseudomonadati; Planctomycetota; Planctomycetia; Planctomycetales
Description: bacterial SSU rRNA
Rfam family: Bacterial small subunit ribosomal RNA
Source: RNAcentral
UUUCGCAAUGCCCGAAAGGGUGACGAAGCGACGCCGCGUGGGUGAGGAAGGCCCUCGGGUUGUAAAGCCCUGUCAGGAGUUAAGAAAUGUAAGUGUGUUAAUACCACAUUUAUUUGACGAAAGCUCCAAAGGAAGCCACGGCUAACUCUGUGCCAGCAGCCGCGGUAAGACGAAGGUGGCAAGCGUUGCUCGGAAUUACUGGGCAUAAAGAGCGCGUAGGUGGCUUGGUUAGCGGGUGAUGAAAUCCCAUGGCUCACCCAUGGAACUGUUACCCGAACUGCCAGGCUUGAGGACGGGAGGGGAAAGUGGAAUUCCUGGUGUAGCGGUGAAAUGCGUAGAUAUCAGGAGGAACGCCGGUGGCGAAAGCGACUUUCUGGCCCGUUCCUGACACUGAGGCGCGAAAGCUAGGGGAGCAAACGGGAUUAGAUACCCCGGUAGUCCUAACUGUAAACGAUGGGCACUAAGUAGAGGGGUUUU